AAUUUAUUUUAUUAAAAGGGAUUUUCUAUUUUUUGAUUAUUUUGAUUUAAUAAGAAAAGUUUUGUGGGGAUGAGCUGGCAGAAUUGUUUUAAAUUUAAUUUAUUUAUAAUGAGUAGUAGGAUUAAAAUUUUCUUUCUUUUUAGUAUUUUAUAAUUUAUCAUUAUUAAAUUAUUAUUUUUUUUUAAUUAGGUUUUUUAUAAAAAUUUAAUUUUUAAUUUUUUAUUUUUAGUAAUAAUUAUGUAAUUAGUAAAAUUAGUUUUAAAUUUAUUUAAUUGGUUAGGUAAAUUUAAGGAAUUCGGCAAUAAGUUUUUCGCCUGUUUAAUAAAAACAUGGUCUUUUGAAUAUGAUUUAAGAUUUAACCUGCCCGCUGAGGAUUUGAAUGGCCGCGGUAAUUUAACCGUGCGAAGGUAGCAUAAUCAAUAGUUUCUUAAUUGGAAGCUGGUAUGAAUGGUUGGACGAGAAAACUUCUGUCUCAAAUUUAAUUUUUUUGAAUUUUAUUUUUGAGUCAAAAAGCUUAAAUUUAAUUAAAAGACGAGAAGACCCUAUAGAGUUUAAUUUAACUAAUCUUAUUGCUUAAGAUUUUAUAAGGAUUUUUAAAUUUUGUUGGGGUGACAUUAAGAUUGAAUUAACUCUUAAAAAUUAAUUUCAAUAAUUGUUGUUUUUUUGAUCCAAUUUUUUUGAUUAAUAGAUUUAAUUACCUUAGGGAUAACAGCGUUAUUUUUCUUGAGAGCUCUUAUCGAAAGAAAAGAUUGUUACCUCGAUGAUCGAUUAAAAUAAAA
Molecule: ribosomal RNA, 779 nt
Filed under: Heterocerus intermuralis
Lineage: Eukaryota; Metazoa; Arthropoda; Insecta; Coleoptera; Heteroceridae
Description: partial 16S ribosomal RNA
Rfam family: Archaeal large subunit ribosomal RNA (bases 282-481)
Source: RNAcentral